Molecule: ribosomal RNA, 477 nt
Filed under: uncultured bacterium
Lineage: Bacteria
Description: partial 16S ribosomal RNA
Rfam family: Bacterial small subunit ribosomal RNA
Source: RNAcentral
ACUCAAAUGAAUUGACGGGUCCCCGCACAAGCAGCGGAGCGUGUGGUUUAAUUCGAUGCAACGCGAAGAACCUUACCCAGACUUGACAUGGCCCUGAAACCCGUGGAAACACGGUCCCCGCAAGGCAGGGUCACAGAUGUUGCAUGGCUGUCGUCAGCUCGUGUCGUGAGAUGUUGGGUUAAGUCCCGCAACGAGCGCAACCCUCGUGCUGUGUUGCACUUCACAGCAGACUGCCGGUACAAGCCGGAGGAAGGUGGGGAUGACGUCAAGUCCGCAUGGCUCUUACGUCUGGGGCUACACACACGCUACAAUGGCCAGGACAAUGCGUUGCCACCCCGCGAGGGGGAGCAAAUCGCCAAAGCUGGUCUCAGUUCGGAUGGCAGGCUGCAACUCGCCUGCCUGAAGUCGGAGUUGCUAGUAACCGCGUGUCAGCAUAGCGCGGUGAAUACGUUCCCGGGGAUUGCACACACCGCCCGU